Long non-coding RNA from Macrobrachium nipponense, 541 nucleotides. RefSeq lists it as uncharacterized. The record is from RefSeq and is a predicted model, not a curated record. The transcript is spliced from 2 exons. NCBI's taxonomy places the organism in Eukaryota, Metazoa, Arthropoda, Malacostraca, Decapoda, Palaemonidae.
AGACAUUUCAUAUUCUCACAUGGCGACAGGAAAGACUAGUAAUUAUUAAGAACUUGGUAUUUCAAUUGCCCUACUCUUGGUACCAUCAAACUGUCUUUCCUGCCGUCCAGUCUUUAAAGAUGGGUAGUUUGCUAACUCCUCCUCCUUCCAUAUGCUUUACUCGAGCGAAAACGGCGACGAGGAGCCAGGCAGCCCGGCCGUCAGGCAGACUCAGAGAGCGACUCGUAGAGAGAGACACAGAGAGAAGAGAGCAGAGACCUCACUCACCUGGGAAGGUUCCUACAAUUUUGAUUCGUCCGACAUGCCUGUCUUAGGCUAAAGGCUUUUAUUGGGAUCCCUGGUCUACGUCACCCUCUUGUGAACAUCUGCCAAAAGCCAUCUGCAACGCCUUUGUGCAUGGUUCGACAAUGACAGCGAGCGAAGCAGAACGAAGGAAACGCCCUACGAUCUACGUGAAUUGCCUUGUUCUCCUACCAGUUGUUUAUAACUACGGUACUACGUUAUUUUAAAGGCUUAUUUAUGUAAUAAAUAUCAUAUUCAA